This 37-nucleotide small RNA is filed under the name Arabidopsis thaliana (thale cress). RNAcentral describes it as "ATSL125570". The record is from RNAcentral. Lineage: Eukaryota; Viridiplantae; Streptophyta; Magnoliopsida; Brassicales; Brassicaceae.
GCUCUUCUCCUCUUUCUCUUCUCUUCUCUUCUCCUUU